UGAUUUAAAUUGUCAAUCACAUUAUCAAUCAAAUUUAAUCCCAACAAACUUCAAAUUAAUCCCUUAAAAUUAGCAUAAACAUAUUU
RNAcentral lists this small RNA (86 nucleotides) under Arabidopsis thaliana (thale cress). RNAcentral's name for it is "ATSL027540". The record is from RNAcentral. Lineage: Eukaryota; Viridiplantae; Streptophyta; Magnoliopsida; Brassicales; Brassicaceae.